This 484-nucleotide ribosomal RNA is filed under the name uncultured bacterium. RNAcentral describes it as "partial 16S ribosomal RNA". It matches the Rfam family "Bacterial small subunit ribosomal RNA", at positions 29 to 507 of the family's 1533-position model. The record is from RNAcentral.
AGUGAACGCUGGCGGCAGGCCUAACACAUGCAAGUCGAGCGGCAGCGCGGGGGCAACCCUGGCGGCGAGCGGCGGACGGGUGAUGAAUUCUUCGGAAUCUGCCUUUUUGUGGGGGAUAACGUAGGUAAACUUACGCUAAUACCGCAUACGUCCUACGGGAGCAAGUGGGGGCCCGCAAGGCCUCACGCAGAUAGAUGAGCCGACGACCGAUUAGCUAGUUGGUGGGGUAAAGUCCCACCAAGGCGACGAGCGCUAGCUGGUAUGAGAGGAUGAUCAGCCACACUGGGAGUGAGAAACGGCACAGACUCCUACGGGAGGAAGCAGUGGGGAAUAUUGGACAAGGGGCGCAAGCCUGAUCCAGCCAAGCCGCGUGUGUGAAGAAGGCCUUCGGGUUGUAAAGCACUUUUGUCCGGAAAGAAAUCCCUGGAGCUAAUACCGGCGGGGGAUGACGGUACCGGAAGAAUAAGCACCGGCUAACUUCGUG